GCUUCCCGUCUCCUUCAACGUCACCCAAAUUGAGGCACAACGUCAACGAAAGCAAACCUUAAUUGAGCCUAGCCAACAUGGAUAAAAAUAUAGACCAUGGAAUACGCUCUGUACAUUGCAAUGGAAGCACAGUGUGAUUUCACUGAGGAAAAAAUGCAGCAAAUUAGGCGGCGGUGGUGCCUAGUUCUCCUGCAGAACUUUCCCAUGCAGAGGAUGUAGAAGACGCCUCCCCCCAAGAAGUCACAACAUGUCACAUCAGCAUCCAGCUCUGCAGGAUCAGGUACUGUAUAGGCUAUUAGCUAAAUUAAGGUGUAUUAUUGUACACACAUCCAUAGAGGUUCCCUUGCAUUACUUAAUGACCACAAUCUGUUUCUUUUCUUUCUAGACGAUACUGAAAACAAAACACGACGAGCUGUGAACUGGGUAUUAGUCUACUGUGUGUAAUGCUGAAGGCUUGAUGCAUGGCAAGAUAUAAUAGUUGUGAUGACUUGAUGAGUAGUUAUAGAUAUCACUGAAAACCCCUUUAGUAAUAGUGGCUUUUGUUUGCAAGGUUGGUAUUGUGAAAGUAGGGUGUAAUUUGACUUGAUGAGCCAAUACUCUUAAUAUUUAUUCUUCCUUUUUCUUCAAGGAAGCAGAUGUUCUUCUAAGGGACACCCUAGAGGCAGCGAACAUUUAAAGGCACUGUUUCCCUCCCUAGUGUAAUUGGGAUGGACGGGGAAGACCGCAUUACAAUCCUUAAAGAACUACGGUUGUAUGAUGGCCUGGAUGAAGAGGAACAUAUUCUCCUCAAGGAACCCUUCAUGUUCCAGAGAGAUUAUGAGAUAUUCUAUGUGGAGGCCGUUGACAACAAGAACAUUACUGUCUUUGCCUCUUUUGAGGAGCAGGAGUGAAGCCAUUUUUGAGGAGUAGUCAAACCUUGUUUUUGUCUGCUGUUUCAAUUGUUAAUUGUGUUAUGUUGUUUAGUAAAGAUGACAUAGAAGUCACCCGAGUCUCUGAUCUCUGUACUGGAGCUGGUAUAACUUAAUGUACAAAGCACCUUCAGCUAUUCAGUAUGUCUACUAUAUAGUUUAGUCUGUCUCCAUUCUCAUUGGGAAAGUAAAUAGCAUUAUAAAUCAGGGUAGGUAGUAACUGUAUGUAUGUGUGUAUGCUCAAUUAAAUAAUAUAAAGUUAACAUUUAUCAACACAAUUUUAACAGUACAUGACAUAAGUCUGUACACUGCAACAAUAUCAGUAGCUUGUCUAAAGUAUAGCAUGAAGCAAAAAGUGUUACAACACAUCUAGUACCACUUUGUAUAAUUAUUUCUUACAGUUUCAAAAAUGAAAUACGUUUGUAUUCAAUGCGUGCCUUGUGCAAACUUACGUGUUAGUAUUCAGUGUGUGACUGUCAAACGUUUGACUCCGACCACAUUGAGACCGGCCCUGAAUUGCACACUGCAGUCAGGUGUACUUGUCAGGACUUGCACUUUCCAAAGGAAGGGACAGAGAUUUGCAAAAUUUCUGUAUUUGAAAUACGAAUUUCAAUUCUGAGUAUUUUGUCAUUUGUAGUACACUGGGCUGAACUAAACUCAAAUGUAUUUUGUAACAAGAUACUUUAGAGAGCUGUAGGUAUAUGUGAAUUUAUACUUUCAAAAUAAAUACUUUUCUAUACCAUUUAUUUUUAGUGGUUCACAACUGG
This is a long non-coding RNA of Oncorhynchus nerka (sockeye salmon), 1675 nucleotides long. RefSeq lists it as uncharacterized. NCBI's taxonomy places the organism in Eukaryota, Metazoa, Chordata, Actinopteri, Salmoniformes, Salmonidae. The record is from RefSeq and is a predicted model, not a curated record. The transcript is spliced from 4 exons.